Molecule: transfer RNA, 65 nt
Filed under: Dipodomys ordii (Ord's kangaroo rat)
Lineage: Eukaryota; Metazoa; Chordata; Mammalia; Rodentia; Heteromyidae
Rfam family: tRNA
About the family: Transfer RNA (tRNA) molecules are approximately 80 nucleotides in length. Their secondary structure includes four short double-helical elements and three loops (D, anti-codon, and T loops). Further hydrogen bonds mediate the characteristic L-shaped molecular structure. tRNAs have two regions of fundamental functional importance: the anti-codon, which is responsible for specific mRNA codon recognition, and the 3' end, to which the tRNAs corresponding amino acid is attached (by aminoacyl-tRNA synthetases). tRNAs cope with the degeneracy of the genetic code in two manners: having more than one tRNA (with a specific anti-codon) for a particular amino acid; and 'wobble' base-pairing, i.e. permitting non-standard base-pairing at the 3rd anti-codon position.
Source: Rfam by way of RNAcentral
GGUGGCUCAGUGGUAGAGCGCUUGCCUAGCAUGCAAGAGGCCCUGGGUUCGAUUCCUCAGUACCA